Molecule: signal recognition particle RNA, 301 nt
Filed under: Vigna radiata var. radiata (mung bean)
Lineage: Eukaryota; Viridiplantae; Streptophyta; Magnoliopsida; Fabales; Fabaceae
Description: SRP RNA Plant_SRP
Rfam family: Plant signal recognition particle RNA
Source: Rfam by way of RNAcentral
GCCGAGCUGGGUAACGUCAGCUUGUGACCCGAGUGGGGGUAUCAUGGUGAUGGAACAAGGUUUAGGCUUCACCAAGUUGGUAUGGAAGCUGCAUGAUGCUGCUUGCCCACUCCAAGUUAGGAGUUGAGCUAUGGAAUCCUUGCGAAGGCUAGGGUUUCUUGGUUCCUGGACUGGAGGGCACAGCGUGAGGCUGGUUUCACAGAGCAGCGACAACCUCCGGCUCUUGACAGUGGAGGGAUCACAGGCAGCUGCACCUCCACACCACAUAGCUUGGUGAGCCAUCUCUUGAACCAUCACUUUU